AAGUGCUGCCAGAGUUGAGUAU
RNAcentral lists this microRNA (22 nucleotides) under Dasypus novemcinctus (nine-banded armadillo). RNAcentral's name for it is "dno-miR-512-3p". Its record names the gene dno-miR-512-3p. The record is from miRBase by way of RNAcentral. Lineage: Eukaryota; Metazoa; Chordata; Mammalia; Cingulata; Dasypodidae.